This is a small nuclear RNA of Mesocricetus auratus (golden hamster), 157 nucleotides long. Its record names the gene U1. It matches the Rfam family "U1 spliceosomal RNA". From Rfam's summary of the family: U1 is a small nuclear RNA (snRNA) component of the spliceosome (involved in pre-mRNA splicing). NCBI's taxonomy places the organism in Eukaryota, Metazoa, Chordata, Mammalia, Rodentia, Cricetidae. The record is from Ensembl.
AUAGUUAAUUUUUAAUACCAUGAUCACGGAGGUGGUUUUCCAGGGCCAGGCUUACCCAUCCCACUCCAGAGGUGCUGACCCCUGCGAUUUCCCCAAAUGUGGGAAACUCAACUGCGUAGUUUGUAGUAGUAGGGGACUGCGUUUGUGCUUUUCCCUU